AGUCGGUUUCUUCAGAAGUUCCGCGCACAAUCAAUCCCGUCAAAGUUCCCAGCGGGAUGAGGUCGGCGUUUUUGCUAAGUCUGUUUGUGGCUUUCUUAUCCCGUGUCUAUUCCGAUGUCGUGUUGACUCAGGCCGAGCAGGAGACGGCCGGAACCGGCGCCACGGUCCGACUAGUCUGUAAAGCCACUGGGUUCUCUUUUGAUGGAUUCGGCAUGCACUGGGUCCGUCAAGUCCCGGGGCAGGGCCUGGAGUGGCUGCUUUACUUCUACAUUCCUUCCAUUAAGUACUUCGCUCCUGGGAUCCAAAACAGGUUUACUCCAUCCAGGGACACUUCAAAAAGCAUUUUCGUCGUGGACAUUAAGAACUUGAAGACUGAAGACACUGCAGUCUAUUACUGUGCGAGAGAUCAGUGGGGCGAUCCGAGGGCGAACUUUGACUACUGGGGAGGAGGCACCAUGUUGACGGUGACUGCCGCGGCAGCAGCGUCCCCUGCCCUCUAUCCUCUCCUCUCCUGUGAACAACACAGCCCGGCUGACUCAAUCACCUUCAGCUGUUUGGCGAUGGACUACUUGCCGGUUGGAAUCAGCGUUUCCUGGAAGAAAGAUAAAGAAACGAUCUCCACCGGACUGAAGACCUACCCGGCAGUGUUCAACAAGAAGGGAACUUACACCCGCAGUAGCCAGUUGACCGUCUCCGAGUCAGAGGUGGGGAACAGCGCCAUCUACUGCGUGGUUCGGCACGGCGAUUCAGUCAAGGAAGUCAAAAUGCCUGAUCGAGUGGUGCGUCAUCCAACCGUCAGUAUCACCGUCAAUUCCCUUGAAGAAAUCAGAAGGAGCAGAAAAGUGAUCGCCAUCUGUUCCAUCACUGAAUUCUGGCCAAAGGCGCUGACUGUGAGUUGGCUAAGGAAUGGACAGGCGCUGGAUUCGGGCUUCGUCACCGCUCCUUCCUUCAACGACAAUGGGAACUUCUCGGCGACAAGCCGAUUGACAUUAUCCGCCGGGGAAUGGUUGCAGGAUUCUAUUUAUACCUGCAAGGUCACUCAUAAGGGUGUCACACAAAGCCAGAACAUCAGCACGUCUCAAGAUUUUAGCGAUUGCGGCGAAGAAAUUAUUACUAUUCAGCCACCACCACUGGAACAGGUCUUACUGGAGGCGACCGUGACCUUAACCUGCGUCAUAUACCAUGUACCGUACGGGGCCACAGUGACCUGGAGCCAAGGAAAGACACUUCUGAAAUCAGAAACUGCCUUUCAGCCCGGAGAGACCCCUGAGAGCGUGAUCAGCAACCUGAGCAUCUCGACGCAAGACUGGCUGAGUGGGGAUGAGUUCCAUUGUGUGGUGAGCCACGAGGAAAUGCCGACUCCGGAAAGGGCUUCCAUCAGCAAGGGCAAAGAUCCACAUGCGCAGGAACCGUCCGUCUCUGUAUUCUUUCCGACGACAGAAGAAGCCUCCGCUCAGAGAUCCGUCACUAUCACAUGCUUAGUGAGAGGUUUCUCCCCACGACAGAUCUUCGUCAAGUGGACGGUCGAUGGCAAGCUGGUCAAUUCGAGCAACUACAGGAACACUGAGGUGGUGGCGGAGACCGGAAACAGGUCUUUCUUCGUUUACAGCCUAUUUACUGUUGGGGUGGAGCAGUGGGCCAGCGGCGCUUCCUUCUCAUGUGUGGUGGGACACGAAACUCUCCCAAUGAAGACCAUCGCCAGAACGGUCAAUCGGUCCAGCGGUAAACCCAGUUUUGUCAACGUUUCCCUUGUACUGAUGGAUACUGUUAAUUCCUGUCAAUAAGAAUCCAUUGAAAGCAUUUAGAUAUAAAAUAAAUUCGAAUAAAUAUU
Molecule: non-coding RNA, 1831 nt
Organism: Pristis pectinata (smalltooth sawfish)
Lineage: Eukaryota; Metazoa; Chordata; Chondrichthyes; Rhinopristiformes; Pristidae
Source: the annotation of a RefSeq genome assembly